AUUGAACGCUGGCGGCAGGCCUAACACAUGCAAGUCGAGCGGAUGAAGGGAGCUUGCUCCUGGCUUCAGCGGCGGACGGGUGAGUAAUGCCUAGGAAUCUGCCUGGUAGUGGGGGAUAACGUCAGUAAGGGGGGCCAAAUCCGAAACCGGACCAUAGGUGGAAGGGGGGGGUUCUAGGGCCCCACGCGGUUAGGCUGGCCCUAGGACGGAUUAGCUAGUUGGUGGGGUAAGGGCCUACCAAGGCGACGAUCCGUAACGGGGCUGAGAGGGUGACCGGCCACACUGGAACUGAGACACGGUCCAGACUCCUACGGGAGGCAGCAGUGGGGAAUAUUGCGCAAUGGGCGAAAGCCUGACCCAGCCACGCCGCGUGUGUGAAGAAGGUCUUCGGAUUGUAAAGCACUGUAAGUUGGGAGGAACGGCAGUAAGUUAAUCCCUGGCUGUUUUGACGUUACCAACAGAAUAAGCCCCGGCUAACUUCGUG
This 484-nucleotide ribosomal RNA is filed under the name uncultured bacterium. Its description in RNAcentral is "partial 16S ribosomal RNA". It matches the Rfam family "Bacterial small subunit ribosomal RNA", at positions 29 to 507 of the family's 1533-position model. The record is from RNAcentral.